UAUAGUUUUUGCUGGUGUUAAUUAUGAAU
This 29-nucleotide non-coding RNA is filed under the name Mus musculus (house mouse). The record is from RNAcentral. Lineage: Eukaryota; Metazoa; Chordata; Mammalia; Rodentia; Muridae.